Molecule: RNA transcript, 5078 nt
Organism: Lycium barbarum (goji berry)
Lineage: Eukaryota; Viridiplantae; Streptophyta; Magnoliopsida; Solanales; Solanaceae
Gene name: cystinosin homolog
Exons: 6
Source: RefSeq, a predicted model, not a curated record
AAAACAGAUCCACUUAACCGCCUCUUUCCCAUUUCAAUCUCUUUUCCUCUCAUCACCUUCUCCGCCCCCCCUCAUUCCUGCCGGUCACCCUGCCGCCGUCCCUACCCAGCUGAAAUGUAAUGUGUGUGGUGAGGUUGAAUUUCGAUUUCGUGCUGUUAAAUUUGACCAAACACUCGUCUUAUCUCACCUAUAAUGGUUCCACGUUCUUUAGUUCUGCUGUUCAGAAGCAGUACCUUGAGAAAUAUGGCCUUAAUGAGAUGAUACCUGUGGCUGCCAAUGACGUUGCUUUCUCAAUCCAUGCUGUUCUAUUGACAGCAUUUACCCUGUUUCAGAUUGUUAUUUAUGAUCGUGGAAACCAGAAGGUCUCAAGGACUUCCAUUGGGAUCGUGUGUGUUGCUUGGUUAACUGUUGCAGUUUGUGUGUUCAUAGCUUUCCCCAGUCAUUCCUGGCUUUGGCUGAUCUCUUGCUUUAAGCCAAUUAAUAGGAAUAAAAUUUGUCCCACCAACCAGGGGAUGAUGCUGAAUACAUGGCAGAUGAUAUGACAUGGAAGCUAUAGAUGAUGAUAUGGAUGAUUAGUUAACGGCAGCGACAUAAUGAAUUCCAUGAUCGCACCCCAUUGUUACAACAAUGCACACAACAUAAUCUCUACAUAACAAGGGGAGAAUCAAGAAUUCAAGUAGUAGAUCACAGAGGAGAAUCAGUGUUGGUUGAAAUGGAGGCUCGCUUUCGGAGUGCUGUGUGACAAGAAAGUGUCACCAAAACUUAAGGGCAAGUUCUACAAAGUGGUGGUUAGACCGACUCUGUUGUACGAGGUAGAGUGUUGGCCAGUCAAGUACCCUCACGUGUAGAAGAUGAAAGUCGCGAAAAUGAGAAUGUUGUGGUGGAUGUGUGAGCACACUAGGAGAGAUAGGAUCAGGAAUGAGGACAUCAGGGACAAGGUGGGAGUGGCAUUGGUGGAGGACAAAAUGAGGGAAGCGAGGCUGAGAUGGUUUGGGCAUGUGAAAAGGAGAGGCAUAGAUGCCCCAGUGCGUAAGUGUGAGAGGUUGGCUAUGGACGAUUUUAGGAGAGGUAAAGGAAGGCCAAAGAAAUAUUGGGGAGAGGUGAUUAGGCAGGACAUGACGCAGUUUCAGAUUACCGAGGACAUGACCUUAGAUAGGAGGUUGUGGAGGGCUUAGAUUAGGAAAGAAGGCUAAUAGGUAGUCUUGUUUUUCUGUAGCACUAGUAGGCGGAAACAACCGCUCUACCUUUCAAGGUGGGGGUUAGGUUUGCGUACACUCUACCCUCCCCAGACCCCACAUAGUGGGAUUAUACUGGGCUUGUUGUUGUUGUUGUUGUUGUUGUAGUAGGCGUAGUUUUGCUCUACUUUUUAUUGGCCUUUUUUUUUCCUGCUUUUAUGUGUUGGGUCUUGUCUCUCCAUGCUGUUUUAUCAUGACUUCUUUGCCCUUAUUUUUUUCUCAUUUUUGCAUUGCUUUGAUUUGCUUGUCGGUAUCUGACUUUUCUCCCCUUAUUUUCUUGUUUUCUUUUGAGCCGACGGUCUUUCAGAAACAGCCUCCCUACCAAGGUGGGGGUAAGGUCUGCGUACAUUUAACCCUUCCCAGACCCCACACGAUGGGAUUCAACUGGGUAUGUUGUUGUUGUUGUUGUACAUUGGAAUUCAAUCUUCGAUUAAAAUGGACGGACUAUAAUUUACAUUUUUAUACAUUUUAAAAGUAUUUAACAAUGAUAUAAAUUAUUUGUGUUUAUUCUUUUUAGUGAAAUCUUUUUUAGUUAUUUGUGUUUGUCAUUAUGCACGACAUAAAAUUAUUAUAAGAAUAAUAUUUUAAUUUAUAAAUAAUCCUAUAUUAAGAUAGAAUUUGAAUGACAAGAUAAUUAUUUACAUGUCUUAAUGAUUUACAUGUCUAUAAUAAAUUCUUAAGGAAAAAUAUAAUUUGAAACAAGUUUAAUAAUAUUUCCACAUAAAAGACUCAAAUAUGUAUGAGUUUGCUUUGUGGGGGCCACCAUAACAUUUUCCAUGACAUCAUCAUUUUAGUGGCAUAAAAAUGCCUGAAAGUUCUUAAAAUUUGCCAAAAUUGUGUGACAAUUUGUUAAGUCAUAAAAAUUUCAAGUAGGGAUAAAAAAGGAUAAAAAAAUUCAAGAUGUACUUGGAUUUUCUCAAUGAAAGAUCCUUCUGAGUUGUUUCUAUAUUUCAAAGUUGUUGUGCUGAAAUACAAAAUCAAUUUAGUGUCUCUAUUAGUACAUUUCGUAGUGAUAAUGCCUUAGAAUGUUUGUCUUCCCAGUUUCAGCAAUUUACGACUCACCAAGAAAUUAUUCAUCGGACAUCCCGUCUAUACACUCCUCAGCCAGAUUGAGUAGCAGAGUCGAAGAACAUGCACCUCAUUGAGACUGCUCGCACUCUUCUAAUUUAGUCUCAUGCUACGCUUUUUGGGCAGAUGCAGUUCUCACAUCUUGCUAUUUAAUUAAUCGGACGCCUUCAUCUUCCAUUCAGAAUCAAAUUCCUUAUUCAAUAGUGUUUCUUCAAUCACCUCUAUACUCUCUUUCCCUUCGUGUCUUUGGGGAAAGAUAAAUUAACCCUCGUGCCUUUAAAUGUGUCUUCUUGGCUAUUCUCGGAUUUAAAAGGGGAUAUUGUUGCUACUCACAUGAUCUUCGUCGGUACCUUAUAUCAGCUGAUGUCACAUUUUUUGAGUCUCAACCUUUCUUUACAUCAUCUUCUUAUCAUUCUGACAUAUCUAGGUCUUAUUUAUACCUACUUUUGAGGAAUCUACUGUUACUUUUACAUUUCUAUCCACAACACCACCAGUCUUCCCGAUUUUUGAAGAAUCUGCAGUUACUUCUACGUCUCCACCCAUAGUGCCACCAAUCCUAACUUAUCGUGGUGGAUUUGAGAGAAGGGUAAGAUUUACACUCUAUCUCCUAGCGAAAAUUUCAUUGAAUCUUUUUGUUAGAAGAACUUAUUAAAAUAUUUGGUUGUUAACAAAGACCAUGAUUUUGAUUCUUGUCCUUAGCCAGAGGAGCAGUCACAUAGAUCAAAGGGUGGUCACUUUAAACACUUUCGGUGAAAAGAAAUUAUAUCUAUAUAUAGAUCAAAAUAUAUUAAUGUUAUAUAGAUCAAAACAUACUAUUCCUUUAAAAAAAUUGACAAAAUUUAUGAUUUCGCCACUAUUUUAAGUCAUGAGUGGCAUGCAUCCUAGACUGUGGUACCAAUUUGAUUGACGAAAAAAUUUUGGUUACCACAAUACAUAUGAAGUUUAUGCUCUUUAAUGUAAAAUAUAUUUACACAAUUGAUAUAAUUAUAAUAUACAUUUAGUGAUAUUCUAAUAAGCAUAGAGUAACUAAUUGCCACUACAUUGUAGGUUAAAGUAAUUUGAUACUCCCUCUGUCCCAAUUUAUGUGGAACUUUUCUUUUUUCGAGAGUCAAUUUGACCAAACUUUGAAGCUAAAUUGGAUUAAUUAACUCAAUAUUUUAAGAUUACAAUUUAUAUAUUUGAAAACUAAAUGAAAAGUACUAUAAGUUGUAACUUUUCCUAUAUCAAUUUGGUAAAAAAUACAUCUUAAAAUGUUGAUCAAAAUUUAUGUAGUUUGAAUCUCGGGAAGCGAAAAGUGUCACAUAAAUUGGGACAGAUAGAGUAGUAUAUAAAAAAGAAGAUGCACCUUAAUUGAUCUACUUAAACCUAGAUAGGUAAUUGAAACUCCAACUUUUGGUUUGUUUAUUUAUUUUACGUCUUUCUACCUUCCUUUGUACCGAAGCAAGUGAAAAGAGAAAUAUUAUACAGGACAAAGGAAAGUACAUCCGGAGUGCCAAGUUCCUAUUGGUGUUUUUGGUCCCAUUCAGUGUAUAGUAUUAACUUUAGUACUCGAUUAAUUCGAAUUUAAAAAUUUCUAGUUUAAAGAGAAAAUGCUACUUAAAUUGUAGGAAAAGCCGAAAAGGCAAGGCAAAGAGAUUCUUUCUUAACAAUAAAGCAAUCAAAGGAAUAAUAUAGAGAGCACUAACCAAAAGAUAAAAAGGGAAAAUUGUUAAUUAAUGGAUUAGAUCAAUUGCAGUCCCCACCAGCUUUAGCUUAAAUCAUUGAAUUGAAGUUCCCCCUUAAUAUAAAAAGAAGACCGUAACAGAAGUCUUCUGUACAAAAUAUGGAAAAAGAUAUAGCAAACAGUGAAUAUCAUUAGGGAAACUUUUGUUGCUAAAUGAAACUGUACGGAGCCAAUGUCAUAGGAUUGUUUUAUUAUAAGUUGGUUGGAAUUGGCCCCAUCGAAAAAGUUAGUGGGUCUACAAAAAUAUUGAAACUUCCUCGAUACUAAACGAGUGAUAUAUGUAACUGAAAUGAUAAAUUAAUAGUACAAUGUGAAAGAAAGAAAAAGGUCAUGGCAUAAUUUCAUACCUUUUUGGUAUAUCGAAAAAAGAUAAAUAAAAUGCCCUCGCCGUCAACCUUUUGGCUCUAAAAUACCCUUAUUUUUAACGACGCCUUAUGAAAUUAAUCUUAAUGAAUUUAUUUAUUAUGCUGUCAACUAUUACUCCCUCCGUUUCAAUGUAUGUGAAACUUUUCGGAUUACAAGGGUCAAACUUUAUAACUUUGAUCGUAAAUUUUGACAUAGAUUUUUCAAGUUUGUAAAAGUAAAAUUUAUGUAUUUAGAAACUACAUAAAAAAAUACUAUAAGUCAUGAUAAUUUAUAAUUCAAAUAAUUUUAAAAAAAUAUAUAAGAAAAACGUGAUCAAAGAACUACUUCGUUGACUCCUAAAAUAAAUUGAAACGAAGGCAGACAGUGGCAGUGACCAUCAUCCAACUACCCUGAGAUAGAGCGAACCCAUAGGAUACAUCAUAAUUAACUUCAUUAGCCAAUCGAUAACUAAACAACAGGGGAAGUUUAAUAAGGAUAACAAUAUCUUAAUCAUCUUCCCAUGCUGAGUCAUAAUCCUCAACCAGUACAUCACCCGUAAUGGAAACAUCUAAGAAUCUCUACCAGACACAGUAUGAUAAGUAAAGUCUAAGAAUUAAAAAGCAUAAGCUAGAUGAAGAAUCUGCAUUUAAGCAGUAAAAGAGAGUAAAUGAAACCAUUUUUGCAGAACAAUUAAUUAAAACAUCACA